RNAcentral lists this long non-coding RNA (277 nucleotides) under Brassica napus (rape). RNAcentral's name for it is "long non-coding RNA (BNAP_LNC004388)". Lineage: Eukaryota; Viridiplantae; Streptophyta; Magnoliopsida; Brassicales; Brassicaceae. The record is from RNAcentral.
UGCUAUAUCGACAUACCGUUCGAUUGUGGUAGUGUGCACAUUAGGUUAAUUGGUGUGCGUAUACACGUAAUAUCAAGCGUCCACGCUGAACGAUGAAACUAGAAGACACCACCAGUAACACGAAACAAUGUCUUGCUCUGGAGCAGAGAACCUGACCCAGACCUUCAUUGCGACUCAGGGAGAGACUAUGCUGUAGAGACGAAGCCAAUCGAAGAGGAGGUACCGGAGAAGGGAACCAUCAGCCAUAGACAACAAAGGAUGACUGCUAAACCAUUAC